GCCAUUCCCUGCAGCACUCUCUCUCGCGAAGUCUCAAGUCUCAUACAUACGAAGGAGGCACAGCCACCACCGCGCCACCUCUCGUCCAUCCCCACCUCCUCCACAAAUAUGCCACUUUCUUUCACUCUCCUCUGUAAACCCUAAUUCUUGAUUCCUCUUUUUCUCUCUCUAAAUUCCUCUCUCUACACUUCUCGAUUCUCUCGCCUAUCGAUCCACUUUGAUCACUCUUCCCAAACGCUCACUUUCUUUCUUUAGCCCUUAGCCCUCUCUCAUUCUCUCUCUGAAAUUCGUAGCCUAUUCGCUCUUGAUUACAAGAUCUGUCUCGAUUGUUUUCUUGCUUGCUUCUUCUUUUAAUCGCCGUAUUUUAGGGUUUCGGAAUAUCUUUCUUGGAGGUCCGGUCAAGGCUGGCGGGUAUCCGGGUCAAGUAAAUGGCGGAUCCGCCAAGUAUCCGCCCACUGUUAAUUGGUACGUUUUCUUGUCUCUGUUUCGAGGAGUUGGAGUUGAUAGGGUUACAUAGUGGUGAGGAAAUAGAAAAGUGAAAAAGCAUGCUGAGCGUGGUACGUGUGCACCUCCCCUCGGAUAUCCCCAUAGUAGGCUGUGAGUUAACGCCGUACGUCCUCUUACGGCGACCUGACAAGACCGUCACAACCGACGAUGUCCCUGAGUCUGCCCCUCUCGACGGUCAUUUCUUGAGAUACAAGUGGUAUCGGAUACAAAGUGAUAGAAAAGUUGCUGUAUGUAGUGUACAUCCAUCUGAGCUAGCCACAUUGCAGUGCCUAGGUUGUGUUAAGUCCAAAAUACCUGUUGCCAAAAGUUACCAUUGCUCUCCCAAGUGCUUCUCUGAUGCAUGGCAGCAUCACCGUGUUUUACAUGACCGUGCUGCGAGUGCUAUAAAUGAAAACGGAAAUGAGGAGGAAGAGUUAUUUGGGCGUUUCAAUAGCUCUGGAUCUGGAGUUAUUAAUACUAGCUUGUCUGGUCCUGCAUCAAGUGCUAGCUUGACGAAUGGUUCUGCACCUCUAUAUCCUGCAGCAGUUACACAAAGGAGUGGUGGUGAAACUUGGUUUGAAGUUGGGCAUUCUAAAACAUAUACUCCAUCAGCUGAUGAUAUUGGCCAUGUUCUAAAGUUUGAAUGCGUUGUAGUAGAUGCUGAAACUAAAUUACCUGUAGGACAUGUCAACACCAUUCUAACCUCCCGUGUGAUUCCUGCUCCUUCACCUACUCCACGUCGCUUGAUCCCAGUCAGCGGAGUUGAUGUGAUCAGGCAUUUAGAUUCAGAUGGCCGUAUUUCAUCCUCAGGAACUUUUACUGUGCUUUCAUACAACAUUUUGUCUGAUGUUUAUGCAACAAGUGAGACGUACAGCUAUUGUCCUUCUUGGGCUCUAUCUUGGCCAUAUCGCCGGCAGAAUUUGCUUCGGGAAAUUGUUGGAUAUCGUGCGGACAUUGUUUGUCUUCAGGAGGUGCAGAGCGAUCAUUAUGAGGAGUUUUUUGCCCCUGAGUUGGACAAACAUGGUUAUCAAGCUCUUUAUAAGAGAAAAACAAACGAGGUUUACGGUGGAAAUACCCAUACUAUUGAUGGUUGUGCAACAUUUUUUCGCAGAGAUAGGUUUUCACAUGUCAAAAAAUAUGAGGUUGAGUUUAAUAAAGCUGCUCAGUCCUUGACUGAAGCUGUUGUUCCAAGUGCUCAGAGAAAAACUGCUUUAAAUCGUUUGGUCAAGGAUAAUGUUGCAUUAAUUGUGGUUUUGGAAGCAAAAUUCAGUAAUCAAGGAGCUGAUAAUGUUGGAAAACGGCAGCUUCUUUGUGUUGUGAGUAAUUAUGUUCUAAAUAAUCUGCUAGAAUGUUUGCCGUUAUUAUAUUGAAAUUGCCUUUGUGUGUCUUAUUGUCCAUUUCAUCUCAGAUUAACUAGAAUACUAAUUCUCCACUUCCAUGAGGGAGUUGCUGUUCUGGUGAUAGACUUUUGGAGUUACUUCUUCCAAGAACAUUGGCUUGAAACAAAGAACCAUUGGGCCAAUGGCCAUAUUAACGAUGACUUGUUUUUCUGAGAAGAAUGUGUGCUGAUAAUGUAUUUGAGAUGCAAUUUUUUGUGGUCUGAUGGGAGCUGAACUACUUUUAACGUUGCUUCUCCAUUCUCCAUUAUUUGACAAAAUUGUUACCUUAUAGUAAAGGGUGUGGCUUCUGUAAUAAUUUGUUGAUAAGGUGUCUAUUUGAGGAUGCUCAUGCUGUGGGUUAUUUGAGGUUUCUUCUAGUCUUGUCUCUUAAAUGCUUUGUUCUUUCAUUUCAAGACAGAUUGUGAUUUGUGUGUGUUUGUGUGCAUGCAUGCUCCUUUUUCCUUGUAUUUUUCUCUUAAUAACUUCUAAGUGCAAGAAAUAUGAUUCUUAAUUGCCAUGCAUGGGUAUUAUUCUAAUAAUCUUUUGACCUUGUUUUUACUUGUUUUCAAUUACAGGCAAACACACACGUGAACGUGCAUCAUGAUUUAAAGGAUGUCAAGCUUUGGCAGGUUCUCACCCUUUUGAAAGGAUUGGAGAAAAUAGCUGCCAGUGCAGACAUUCCAAUGUUAGUGUGUGGAGAUUUCAAUUCCAUCCCUGGAAGUGCUCCUCAUGCUCUUCUUGCUAUGGGAAAGGUAGAUCCAUUGCAUCCAGAUUUAUUGGUAGAUCCUCUUGGAAUCUUACGUCCUCACAGCAAGCUUACACAUCAACUACCUCUGGUCAGUGCUUAUUCAUCUUUUGUAAGACUGGGCGUUGGUCUUGGUUUGGAACAGCAACGGAGGAGAAUGGACCCUGCAACAAAUGAACCAUUGUUUACAAACUGCACUAGAGAUUUUAUUGGCACCCUAGAUUACGUAUUUUACACAGGUGAUGUCUUUCAGACAUUUUUUUUGCAUCUUGUUUUGCCCAGAGUUAGGUUUGGUAUCAAUGUCCAUGUCAUGGUUGUCCAAUUCAAAUUUACUUGUAAAAUGUUGAUAGUUAAGAAAUUAAAUCUUUUGUUGUGCUUUCAGCGGACACUUUGACAGUGGAGUCCUUGUUGGAACUCUUGGAUGAGGAAAGCUUAAGGAAAGACACAGCCCUACCUUCUCCAGAGUGGUCCUCUGAUCAUAUAGCACUUUUAGCUGAAUUUCGUUGCAAGUCUAGACCGAGACGUUGACAAUCCGGGGUCUAAUGAUGGUCAAGAAGAUGACAGAGAGAAAUCCAAGGAAUCAAGUAAAUUGCAAGAAUGGUAGAUCAUGGUCCAUGUGUCAUUUUACAGGUAUCUCUAUAGUGGGGAUCGUCUCUAUGAUCUGCUUUGUAUCAUGCCACCAUUGUCUCAUAGAAAAAGAUAUGCCAUAUUCAAUGGUUUUUUCAUUUUCUUUGCUGAUAGAAAUGCCCACGGGCUUAGUGUAUGUCAUUAUCCUGUACUUUUAAGCUCCCCUGCAUAGCUAGUGGUUAGUGGCAAUGCCUCUUAGUUUUGAGUUCAAUCAUCCUUUGUUCACUGUUCUUUUCUCAUUUUCUGGCCGCUGGAAAGGAAUAAAAAAAAUCUUAAAAGUUUU
RNAcentral lists this unclassified non-coding RNA (3520 nucleotides) under Hevea brasiliensis (rubber tree). The record is from RNAcentral. Lineage: Eukaryota; Viridiplantae; Streptophyta; Magnoliopsida; Malpighiales; Euphorbiaceae.